UCAGUCUGGAGCAGGCAUUGGUCUUAUGAUGGAAAAGGGAUCUAGUGCCAAAAUACACAAGAUUGUCAACUAGAGGGAGCAAUAGAGAAGGAAGAAUGGAGGGAUCCUAUGGCUGACUGAAAUGAGAAAAUUACAAGACAUCAAGCAGAUAAAUGUAGAACAAUGACUAAAUACUAAAGCCAAGAGAAACAGCUGAUUUGGAUACAUUCUAUAGAGAGAGAAAAAAGAGAGGAAUUGAUCUCCACAAGGUUACCAGCAACCUCAUCAAAUAUAUUAAAUGUUUUUCAGCCUGAAUCUUUACUGGAAUUCUCUUCAGCUCUUAAGACUGGAUAUAUUUCUACUUCCAAAUUUUGACAACUACAAAUAAAGAUGCUGCAAACAUCCAUGUGAAGGAUUUCGAGUGUACAUCAAUUCUUAACUCCUUUGGGUAAACACCAAGGAAUAUAACUGCUGAAUCAUAUGAAACAUGCUUUCCUAAAUUCUACAAAAGAAGUGAUAUAAUGUGGUGAAAGAGCUGGGGACCCCGGAUUGUGAGCAAUGUGACGGAAGGCAUUUAUUGCUUGACCACUUUACUCAUCUCUGGCUUCAACACCCAACAUGGACUGAUGUUUGAUGACCUAAGGAUCAGAGCUGGCAUCUCUGCUGACAUGUGUACUUGGCCUUUAGAGAAUAUUCCUAUCAACAGCUACUAAGUUGGGAUAAUAUGACCCAAAGGAGAGACAAAUAGAUGAAAUUAUCAUUUGCCAGAGUUCGUAUGGUUGGAGACAGCUGUGAAUGACUAGAUCUCCCAGAUCCUGGUACAGUAUUUAACCUUUUAUUUUCUUAUAUUCCACAAUUUUCCCCUAUACCUUCCUCACCCCCAACCCCCUACCCAAUUAGUCUCAUGAAUCUAUUAAUCAGUUGCUUAAAUCUAAUUUUGGGAAGAAAUGUAGUCAUUCAAAUUCUAAACAUGAAAAAGAAAAAAGUCAAUAAAUACUUAUUUCAGUGAUCAUAAUGUGUCAGGCACUGUAAAUAAAUUGAUAAGGUUGAAGCAGUACUGGUAAGAAAGUUUUGUUCACAGGAAUGUUAUGAGUGAGCUCAUUAUUUAGAAGUAAUUAGUAGACAGCUAUGA
Long non-coding RNA from Ictidomys tridecemlineatus (thirteen-lined ground squirrel), 1111 nucleotides. RefSeq lists it as uncharacterized. The record is from RefSeq and is a predicted model, not a curated record. Lineage: Eukaryota; Metazoa; Chordata; Mammalia; Rodentia; Sciuridae.